GGUAGAAAGCUCAAGUUGUUAAAGCACAGGACUUGCAAUCCUGAGGCAUCAGAGGCCCCAGGUUCAACUUCUGGUACCACCA
This 82-nucleotide transfer RNA is filed under the name Erinaceus europaeus (western European hedgehog). It matches the Rfam family "tRNA". From Rfam's summary of the family: Transfer RNA (tRNA) molecules are approximately 80 nucleotides in length. Lineage: Eukaryota; Metazoa; Chordata; Mammalia; Eulipotyphla; Erinaceidae. The record is from Rfam by way of RNAcentral.